Molecule: unclassified non-coding RNA, 1685 nt
Filed under: Centruroides sculpturatus (bark scorpion)
Lineage: Eukaryota; Metazoa; Arthropoda; Arachnida; Scorpiones; Buthidae
Description: very-long-chain (3R)-3-hydroxyacyl-CoA dehydratase hpo-8-like, transcript variant X1
Source: RNAcentral
UUUCAUCCCCAGUUACAAUUCGUUUCACCAGAUUAGGAUCCUCAUCAACUGUGGCGAUGAGGAUCCUAAUCUGGCACAACAUGCAGCUCGAUGCUCUCUCUGUUCUGUCAAUGAAUGUAUCACAAAAUGGGAAAAAUCUUUCUCUACAAUGGACCUGGCCAUUUCCUUACUGACACCAAGUUUCACUGCAAGCAUUCUGGUGGUAAUUCGUCUAUCACUGGCAACAAUUUCCUUGGCUUUUUCCACGUUUUCAUCCACCCGAGCAGACAUAAGACAUCAGAUGUGUUGUUUAUCUUAUAAGGAUUCUCUUCCAUUCUUAAAUGCUGAAAACCAGUGGAACACUUGUGCACAACUAAGACAAUCAUUCUCAUAAACAAGUAGCAUAUCUUUGUAAACUUCUAAUGCUGUUUUUCCUAAUUUACAGUAAAAUUUUAUCACAACUCUUUGAUCCAUGAUGUUACAUUUGACCGCUGCUACUUGCACAACGUUACUUUCACAGUUGCUGUGUAGGCACUGGCUGAGUCAUCGACACGAUUGAAGUGUCUGCGUGUUCAGCACAAUCUAGCGGGUGAAAUGGUAACUACAUUUGGCAUAUUUCUUGAAAGUAUUCCUGGAAAAAAAAAUCAGUCUCAUUACUUAUUUGGUGCAUUGUGUAUAUAUAUAAAAUUUAAAAAAUUUUUGAAAAUAUAUUAUUUGUUAAAAAUUAUUGAUAUCAUUUUGAAUUCUACUAGAUGGACCUAUAUUUUUAUCAAAGUUAUAUUGUAUGCACUUGCAAAUGGAACUUAUUAUGGAAUGUGGGAUGAAAUCAGUAUAGCUAUCAAGAUAUUUCAAACUCUUGGUUACAUUGAGGUUGUACAUUGUAUUGUAAAAUUAGUACGAAGUUCUCCUUUAAUAACUUUUCUGCAAAUAACUUCAAGAGUUAUGGUAGUUUGGGGAAUCAUAACAUCUGUUCCUGAGGUUGCAAAUACAAUUGGUGUUCCUCUAUUACUGGUAGCUUGGUGUAUGGCUGAAAUAAUACGAUAUUCAUAUUAUGCGACCACUAUUUUAAAUUGUUGUCCAUACAUUUUAAUUUGGUGUCGGUAAGUUAUUUUUAAACUUAUUGCUAUUAAAAUAGCCUCAGUUUCACAUAAAAAUAACAAUUUCAAAAGUUAAAUAAGAUGGUGAUGAUCAAUUAUUUUAAAAUCCAAUAAAUCCAGUUAGAUCCAAACCAGCCACAGUUUUCCAGCAGACAGUUUAUUCAGUGAAUAAACAUUUUUGGAUUAUCUUAUAGCUAUGUCUCUACUUAUCAAAAUUAUUUUGGAGAGUAAUUUUUCUCCUGUCCACAGAACAAAAGGGAAUGCAUGCUGAGGCUGCAUUUGACAUGCUUGAAAACUCUAACAAUUACAUCAAUUUUCUGAAAAGGGCCAUAACUGGAGAUGGGUAUACAGUUAUGACCCUGCAACAAAAGCUGUCUUUGCAAUAAAAAUUACCCUAUCUCCAUGUCCAAAAAAUGCCUAGCAAAGUCAGAGCAAUAUCAAGGCCAUGUUGACUAUCGUCUUCAAUUACAGUAGUGUUGUCCACCACAAGUAUGCAUUUCCAGGCAGACUGAGAGAUGCAGCAAGAAGAAACUGCAGGAUCUGUAGGCAAGUGGUGAAUGGCAGCUUCAUCACCACAUUAUUUCUGUUUAUUCUUCAUAUCUCAUGCAG